GGGGAGAUAGCUCAGUGGUAGUGUGCUUGCCUACCAUGCAAGGAGCCCUGGGUUCUAUCCCCAGAACCACCA
RNAcentral lists this transfer RNA (72 nucleotides) under Ictidomys tridecemlineatus (thirteen-lined ground squirrel). Its description in RNAcentral is "Spermophilus tridecemlineatus (thirteen-lined ground squirrel) tRNA". It matches the Rfam family "tRNA". Rfam says of the family: Transfer RNA (tRNA) molecules are approximately 80 nucleotides in length. Their secondary structure includes four short double-helical elements and three loops (D, anti-codon, and T loops). The record is from Rfam by way of RNAcentral. Lineage: Eukaryota; Metazoa; Chordata; Mammalia; Rodentia; Sciuridae.